GUAGGUGAACCUGCGGAAGGAUCAUUACUGAAGUGAUUUGGGGAUGUUGCUGGCCUCUUUCUUUUCGAGGGGGCAAUGUGCACUCCCUGAACAAUUCACAAUUUCCAUCACACCCCUUGUGCACAUCUUGUAGGAGCCCACUCACCUCUUUUGGUCGGGGCGUCCUAUGUAUUCCUUCAUCUCACACUUUAUCGAAUGGUGCCCUUGAACGCAUCUCAUGGAUUAUUUGUAAAAAAAGUAAUCACAGAAA
Molecule: unclassified non-coding RNA, 250 nt
Filed under: plant metagenome
Description: partial contains small subunit ribosomal RNA, internal transcribed spacer 1, and 5.8S ribosomal RNA
Source: RNAcentral